ACGCUCGACACCUACGGGGGCAGCAGUAGGGGAAUCUUCCACAAUGGACGCGAAGUCUGAUGGAGCAACGCCGCGUGAGUGAAGAAGGUCUUCGGAUCGUAAAACUCUGUUGUUAGAGAAGAACACGAGUGAGAGUAACUGUUCAUUCGAUGACGGUAUCUAACCAGCAAGUCACGGCUAACUACGUGCCAACAGCCGCGGUAAUCUGAGCGGGCUGGCAAGGC
This 224-nucleotide ribosomal RNA is filed under the name uncultured bacterium. RNAcentral describes it as "partial 16S ribosomal RNA". It matches the Rfam family "Bacterial small subunit ribosomal RNA", at positions 328 to 539 of the family's 1533-position model. The record is from RNAcentral.